CCUACGGGGCGCAGCAGUGGGGAAUAUUGCACAAUGGGGGAAACCCUGAUGCAGCGACGCCGCGUGAGUGAAGAAGUAUUUCGGUAUGUAAAGCUCUAUCAGCAGGAACGAGACAAGACGGUACCUGACUAAGAAGCCCCGGCUAACUACGUGCCAGCAGCCGCGGUAAUACGUAGGGGGCAAGCGUUAUCCGGAAUCACUGGGUGUAAAGGGAGCGUGGACGGCUGAGCAAGCCUGAAGUGAAAGGCGGGGGCCCAACCCCCGGACUGCUUUGGGUACUGGACUGCUGUAGUGCAGGCGAGGUA
Molecule: ribosomal RNA, 305 nt
Filed under: uncultured bacterium
Lineage: Bacteria
Description: bacterial SSU rRNA
Rfam family: Bacterial small subunit ribosomal RNA
Source: RNAcentral